Molecule: long non-coding RNA, 1203 nt
Filed under: Cyanistes caeruleus (blue tit)
Lineage: Eukaryota; Metazoa; Chordata; Aves; Passeriformes; Paridae
Description: lncRNA (ENSCCEG00000011344.1)
Source: RNAcentral
AUCCCAACCACAAGCUGCUGGAUUUCCUCUUCAUUUGAGUUAAAGUCUUUUGCCACUUGAUUUUAUUUUAGGACAAGACUCUCAAGCAGGUCUGAGGUUUGAGUUUGGGGGAUUUUCUUUGCAAUACUCCCAUAUUUUAACUCUUCUUUUUCACCAGAGGACUGUGAACAACCUUCUCCUGUGUCCAACCACUUUUUCUUCAUUUAUAAAUGUUGAAGAUUUCUUACUUUGAAGCCCCUUUUGCAACUCCUAGCAAAGUGCCUGGUACUAGACGAUAAAACUGGCAGACUCCAAUCCCUUCCUCCCUGAAACUCCCCUGUGGAUCAGACAUCACAAUGACAGUUCUGCAGUGCACACGCCUCUGUUUCUAUGUCUGGUCCAGGUCCAGAAGUAGCGAAACAAAGGCAGCUGUUAACAGCUCCGACUGGCCGAGGGAAAACCCAGAGGAUAAGAAAUCUCUUGAGAAGACCCAGAGCCAUGAGAUUUGCAGUCAGAUAGCCAGCCCAACUCUCAGUGACCUCUCAGAGAGAACUGAAAACGUCUGGCUGCUUGUCACAACUGAACAUCCAACCCCAUUGCUGAAGGAAACCCAUCUUCCAGGACAACAUGGAAAUGACCGCCUCAUUAAAAUCUCCUUGGCACAACCCAAGCUGGUCUUCCAUCACUGGGGGCAGAAGGAGCUGAGUGUGGAGGCAAUUUGUUCCUCGGAGCAUGCAUCAUUCCUCCAGUCAGGGCGUGCAUCUGGCCAGCCUGCCUUGGACUGCUUUACAGAGCCGUGGACGCUGUCCAGAGCGCUCUGCUCAGUGUCCCCGACAAGAUGGCCAUCAAAGACUGGGUUAGGGGUCAGGCACCCAAAGCCAUUAGCACUCCAAAGUGAUUGAUUACCAUCAUGUGUGGUCUCAAUCAAGAGCCGGAAAGACCACCUCUGCUAACACUCCUUGACUGGCAGCAGAAAGCCAGGAGAUGCCUGGAUCAUGCCUGAGGGAUGCCAGGAUGAAAAAGCACUCAGAGGACCCUGCAAAGCACUGUCCUGGUGGUAGAAGGAGCAAAAUGAGUCCUGGAAAUGCUCCUUCCAAUGAUCCCUAGAAAGAAAGGACCAGGCAGAGAAGUAUCAUCCCCAGAGACUCUCAUAGGACAGGAAAGAAACAGAAAGAUACAGAGUUGUGGAAUAAAACUACUGAUUUUCAAUAAAAUGAGAGAGCA